Molecule: ribosomal RNA, 905 nt
Filed under: Bipolaris mediocris
Lineage: Eukaryota; Fungi; Ascomycota; Dothideomycetes; Pleosporales; Pleosporaceae
Description: LSU rRNA
Rfam family: Eukaryotic large subunit ribosomal RNA
Source: RNAcentral
UUAGCAUAUCAAUAAGCGGAGGAAAAGAAACCAACAGGGAUUGCCCUAGUAACGGCGAGUGAAGCGGCAACAGCUCAAAUUUGAAAUCUGGCUCUUUCAGAGUCCGAGUUGUAAUUUGCAGAGGGCGCUUUGGCUUUGGCAGCGGUCCAAGUUCCUUGGAACAGGACGUCACAGAGGGUGAGAAUCCCGUACGUGGUCGCUAGCUAUUGCCGUGUAAAGCCCCUUCGACGAGUCGAGUUGUUUGGGAAUGCAGCUCUAAAUGGGAGGUAAAUUUCUUCUAAAGCUAAAUAUUGGCCAGAGACCGAUAGCGCACAAGUAGAGUGAUCGAAAGAUGAAAAGCACUUUGGAAAGAGAGUCAAACAGCACGUGAAAUUGUUGAAAGGGAAGCGCUUGCAGCCAGACUUGCUUGCAGUUGCUCAUCCGGGCUUUUGCCCGGUGCACUCUUCUGUAGGCAGGCCAGCAUCAGUUUGGGCGGUGGGAUAAAGGUCUCUGUCACGUACCUCUCUUCGGGGAGGCCUUAUAGGGGAGACGACAUACCACCAGCCUAGACUGAGGUCCGCGCAUCUGCUAGGAUGCUGGCGUAAUGGCUGUAAGCGGCCCGUCUUGAAACACGGACCAAGGAGUCUAACAUCUAUGCGAGUGUUUGGGUGUCAAGCCCGAGCGCGUAAUGAAAGUGAACGGAGGUGGGAACCCGCAAGGGUGCACCAUCGACCGAUCCUGAAGUUUACGGAAGGAUUUGAGUAAGAGCAUGGCUGUUGGGACCCGAAAGAUGGUGAACUAUGCUUGAAUAGGGUGAAGCCAGAGGAAACUCUGGUGGAGGCUCGCAGCGGUUCUGACGUGCAAAUCGAUCGUCAAAUUUGGGCAUAGGGGCGAAAGACUAAUCGAACUAUCUAGUAGCUGGUUCC